UGUCCCUCGUCUUGGUGAUGUCCAG
RNAcentral lists this non-coding RNA (25 nucleotides) under Mus musculus (house mouse). Lineage: Eukaryota; Metazoa; Chordata; Mammalia; Rodentia; Muridae. The record is from RNAcentral.